Molecule: transfer RNA, 74 nt
Filed under: Candidatus Bathyarchaeota archaeon
Lineage: Archaea; Thermoproteati; Candidatus Bathyarchaeota
Description: tRNA-Met
Rfam family: tRNA
About the family: Transfer RNA (tRNA) molecules are approximately 80 nucleotides in length.
Source: RNAcentral
GGGCCCGUAGCAUAGCUAGGUCAUUGUGGCGGGCUCAUAACCCGCCGGCGCCGGUUCAAAUCCGGCCGGGCCCA